AACGAACGCUGGCGGCAUGCCUAACACAUGCAAGUCGAACGAGACCUUCGGGUCUAGUGGCGCACGGGUGCGUAACGCGUGGGAACCUGCCCUUAGGUUCGGAAUAACUCCCCGAAAGGGGUGCUAAUACCGGAUAAUGUCUUCGGACCAAAGAUUUAUCGCCUUUGGAUGGGCCCGCGUUGGAUUAGCUAGUUGGUAGGGUAAAAGCCUACCAAGGCGACGAUCCAUAGCUGGUCUGAGAGGAUGAUCAGCCACACUGGGACUGAGACACGGCCCAGACUCCUACGGGAGGCAGGAGGGGGGGAUAGUGGAACAUGGGGGGAAGGCUGAACCAGCCAUGCCGGGGGAGUGAUGAAGGCCUUAAGGUUGUAAAGCUUUUUUAACCGGGAUGAUAAUGACAGUACCGGGAGAAAAAGCCCCGGCUAACUCCGUG
RNAcentral lists this ribosomal RNA (433 nucleotides) under uncultured bacterium. RNAcentral describes it as "partial 16S ribosomal RNA". It matches the Rfam family "Bacterial small subunit ribosomal RNA", at positions 29 to 507 of the family's 1533-position model. The record is from RNAcentral.